RNAcentral lists this unclassified non-coding RNA (322 nucleotides) under fungal sp. RNAcentral's name for it is "partial internal transcribed spacer region". The stretch from base 1 to 46 matches the Rfam family "Eukaryotic small subunit ribosomal RNA", at positions 1786 to 1831 of the family's 1831-position model. Lineage: Eukaryota; Fungi. The record is from RNAcentral.
AAGUCGUAACAAGGUUUCCGUAGGUGAACCUGCGGAAGGAUCAUUACCGAGUGGCGCGAAAUUCCUGUCGUGAGACGGGGAAGCUACCCGACCUUUUGUCAUUUUGUCAAGUCUGGCUGGCGGGAUUGCAUUCGUGAGAAAGCGAAUGUGGAUUUCGGCAGACGGACCAAAACUUCGGCGGAAGAGGUAGGCGUGGACCUGCCCGCCGCCGGCCGUAUAAGACAAUACACAUUCUUGAGAGCAAACUGAAGUCUAAGACGAUCCUUGAAAAAGGAGUACCAAAAAAAAAGCAAAACUUUCAACAACGGAUCUCUUGGCUCUG